This 71-nucleotide transfer RNA is filed under the name Marmota monax (woodchuck). RNAcentral describes it as "tRNA.Undet". The record is from RNAcentral. Lineage: Eukaryota; Metazoa; Chordata; Mammalia; Rodentia; Sciuridae.
UGGGGUAUAGCUUGGUGAUAGAGCACUUGCUAUCAUGCAUGAGGCCCUGGGUUCAGUUCCCAGCACUGUAA